GGUAAAAUGGCCGAACUAGGUGCAGGGUUGUAGCCCCUUUUAUAAAGGUUAGAGUCCUUUUUUUAUCA
Molecule: transfer RNA, 68 nt
Filed under: Paradactylodon persicus (Persian mountain salamander)
Lineage: Eukaryota; Metazoa; Chordata; Amphibia; Caudata; Hynobiidae
Description: tRNA-Tyr
Rfam family: tRNA
About the family: Transfer RNA (tRNA) molecules are approximately 80 nucleotides in length. Their secondary structure includes four short double-helical elements and three loops (D, anti-codon, and T loops).
Source: RNAcentral